Non-coding RNA from Rattus norvegicus (Norway rat), 740 nucleotides. The record is from RefSeq and is a predicted model, not a curated record. Lineage: Eukaryota; Metazoa; Chordata; Mammalia; Rodentia; Muridae.
ACACUGAGAGGAGAUUUGAGCCUUUCCUCCUCCUCCAGUAGCAGAUACAGAAAAGCAAACGAAGGCCAGCGUGUGCAGAUAAGGGUGACUCUUAGCAAUCAGGCACCUCCAUGGCCAGCCCGAGAGUUCUGGUAACAAUAGAACUAUCAGGCACCUCCGUGGCCAGCCCGAGAGUUCUGGUAACAGUAGAACCAUCAGGCACCUCUGUGGCCAGCCUGAGGGACCCAGCAACAGCAGAAAACAUCAUCACUAUCUGCUAAGAGAGACAUUGGACAUGGAUUUUAAAGAAGACAGAUUCUUGUCUUUAUGCUGAUGAGGGCAAUGGUUUUGUCGUAUAAAAUAACACCAAGAGGCCAUCUUGUAAUGGAGGGAGAAAGAAAGGACGUCUGUCCAGUGGCAUUCUAACAGAAAAGUAUCCAGAAGCCACCUGCAUCCCUAUCACACCAAGCUCCACAGGCAGAAGAGAUACCACUUGUGGCUUCUCAAAAAGCUCUCCUGGAUGAGGGCCCUGCACAAACAGCUAUCUGGAGAGAGCCUGACCGGAUGUGAAUGCACGGGGCAGCGAGAGAACAUGUUGUGUGGGAAGAAAAAAAAGAACAGAAUGUUUACUAACCAGAUAAUUGGCAGGUAGCAGACAUCAGACAUGUUCUUGUUCUUUUAUUUUCCCACCCGAUUGAAUUUAGCCAGUAGCAUGGCUUGCUUUAACAAAUAAAAUGCAGCCGGUAUCUGUCUGAAAUUUA